This 253-nucleotide ribosomal RNA is filed under the name uncultured bacterium. RNAcentral's name for it is "partial 16S ribosomal RNA". It matches the Rfam family "Bacterial small subunit ribosomal RNA", at positions 524 to 776 of the family's 1533-position model. The record is from RNAcentral.
UACGUAGGGUGCGAGCGUUAAUCGGAAUUACUGGGCGUAAAGCGUGCGCAGGCGGUUCGUCGUGUCCGAUGUGAAAGCCCCGGGCUCAACCUGGGAAUGGCAUUGGAAACUGGCGAGCUUGAGUGUGGCAGAGGGGGGUGGAAUUCCGCGUGUAGCAGUGAAAUGCGUAGAGAUGCGGAGGAACACCGAUGGCGAAGGCAACCCCCUGGGCUGACACUGACGCUCAGGCACGAAAGCGUGGGGAGCAAACAGG